GGGAUAACAGUUAGAAAUGACUGCUAAUACCGCAUAAGACCACAGCACCGCAUGGUGCAGAGGUAAAAACUCCGGUGGUAUGAGAUGGACCCGCGUCUGAUUAGCUAGUUGGUGGGGUAACGGCCUACCAAGGCGACGAUCAGUAGCCGGCCUGAGAGGGCGACCGGCCACAUUGGGACUGAGACACGGCCCAAACUCCUACGGGAGGCAGCAGUGGGGAAUAUUGCACAAUGGGGGAAACCCUGAUGCAGCGACGCCGCGUGAAGGAAGAAGUAUUUCGGUAUGUAAACUUCUAUCAGCAGGGAAGAAAAUGACGGUACCUGACUAAGAAGCCCCGGCUAACUACGUGCCAGCAGCCGCGGUAAUACGUAGGGGGCAAGCGUUAUCCGGAUUUACUGGGUGUAAAGGGAGCGUAGACGGAGAGGCAAGUCUGAUGUGAAAACCCGGGGCUCAACCCCGGGACUGCAUUGGAAACUGUUUUUCUAGAGUGUCGGAGAGGUAAGCGGAAUUCCUAGUGUAGCGGUGAAAUGCGUAGAUAUUAGGAGGAACACCAGUGGCGAAGGCGGCUUACUGGACGAUGACUGACGUUGAGGCUCGAAAGCGUGGGGAGCAAACAGGAUUAGAUACCCUGGUAGUCCACGCCGUAAACGAUGACUACUAGGUGUCGGGUGGCAAAGCCAUUCGGUGCCGCAG
Molecule: ribosomal RNA, 693 nt
Filed under: uncultured bacterium
Lineage: Bacteria
Description: bacterial SSU rRNA
Rfam family: Bacterial small subunit ribosomal RNA
Source: RNAcentral